This 414-nucleotide ribosomal RNA is filed under the name uncultured bacterium. RNAcentral's name for it is "bacterial SSU rRNA". It matches the Rfam family "Bacterial small subunit ribosomal RNA", at positions 945 to 1359 of the family's 1533-position model. The record is from RNAcentral.
AUUAAUUCGAUGCAACGCGAGGAACCUUACCAAGGCUUGACAUACACCGGAAACGGCCAGAGAUGGUCGCCCCCUUGUGGUCGGUGUACAGGUGGUGCAUGGUUGUCGUCAGCUCGUGUCGUGAGAUGUUGGGUUAAGUCCCGCAACGAGCGCAACCCUCGUUCUAUGUUGCCAGCGCGUUAUGGCGGGGACUCAUAGGAGACUGCCGGGGUCAACUCGGAGGAAGGUGGGGAUGACGUCAAAUCAUCAUGCCCCUUAUGUCUUGGGCUUCACGCAUGCUACAAUGGCCGGUACAAAGGGCUGCGAUACCGUAAGGUGGAGCGAAUCCCAAAAAGCCGGUCUCAGUUCGGAUUGAGGUCUGCAACUCGACCUCAUGAAGUCGGAGUCGCUAGUAAUCGCAGAUCAGCAACGCUG